This 634-nucleotide long non-coding RNA is filed under the name Lactuca sativa (garden lettuce). RNAcentral's name for it is "long non-coding RNA (LSAT_LNC009624)". Lineage: Eukaryota; Viridiplantae; Streptophyta; Magnoliopsida; Asterales; Asteraceae. The record is from RNAcentral.
UUCAUUAUCAAUCUAAACUAACUCAUAAAUCAAGGAAACAUAAAAUUCUUGAAAAUUCAUAACUUGAGGACAAGUUAUGAACUCCAUACAAUUUUCAACAAGAUCAUGAAUUAUAUCAACAAACAAUUUGCACACAAUUCCUAUGAUCUAGCAAAACUCAUAAGCAUGAUCAUUCAUAAUCAACAAUUUUCAAGAAUAACAUGAACACAUAUAAACUUGAAACUUUUAUUAUAGCAUUGAAAUUGGUUUAACAUAAUCAUUACCACAUUCAAAACAAGUUUUAUAAGCCCAAAACAGUCAAAGGUAAUGAUUCUAGACCAAUUCCAGCACCAAAACUCGAAAAUAUGCUGUCUGGGGGUCCAACUCGUCGAGUGCAUGAACAAACUCGGCGAGUUGGAUGCAUUUUUCCUUGGACUCGUCCAGUCCCUUCAUGGAGUCGGCGAGUCUGCUGGGCAGACAGCACCAAAAGUCGAUUUUUAAGCAGUUUAAGCAAGUACAAGAAGAAAACAAGCCUAGGCUCAANAUCAACAAUUUUCAAGAAUAACAUGAACACAUAUAAACUUGAAACUUCUAUUAUAUCAUUGAAAUUAGUUUAACAUAAUUAUUACCACAUUCAAAACAAGUUUUAUAUGCC